GACGAACGCUGGCGGCGUGCUUAACACAUGCAAGUCGAACGGAAAGGCCCUGCUUUUGUGGGGUGCUCGAGUGGCGAACGGGUGAGUAACACGUGAGUAACCUGCCCUUGACUUUGGGAUAACUUCAGGAAACUGGGGCUAAUACCGGAUAGGAGCUCCUGCUGCAUGGUGGGGGUUGGAAAGUUUCGGCGGUUGGGGAUGGACUCGCGGCUUAUCAGCUUGUUGGUGGGGUAGUGGCUUACCAAGGCUUUGACGGGUAGCCGGCCUGAGAGGGUGACCGGCCACAUUGGGACUGAGAUACGGCCCAGACGCCUACGGGAGGCAGCAGGGGGGAAUAUUGCACAAUGGGCGGAAGCCUGAUGCAGCAACGCCGCGUGCGGGAUGACGGCCUUCGGGUUGUAAACAGCUUUCGCCUGUGACGAAGCGUGAGUGACGGUAAUGGGUAAAGAAGCACCGGCUAACUACGUG
Molecule: ribosomal RNA, 468 nt
Filed under: uncultured bacterium
Lineage: Bacteria
Description: partial 16S ribosomal RNA
Rfam family: Bacterial small subunit ribosomal RNA
Source: RNAcentral